Molecule: ribosomal RNA, 253 nt
Filed under: uncultured bacterium
Lineage: Bacteria
Description: partial 16S ribosomal RNA
Rfam family: Bacterial small subunit ribosomal RNA
Source: RNAcentral
UACAGAGGUCCCAAGCGUUGUUCGGAUUUACUGGGCGUAAAGGGUGCGUAGGCGGUAAGGAAAGUUCGGGGUGAAAUCUCCAGGCUCAACUUGGAAACUGCCCUGAAUACUUCCUUGCUAGAGGGUCGCAGAGGAGAUUGGAAUUCUCGGUGUAGCAGUGAAAUGCGUAGAUAUCGAGAGGAACAUCAGUGGCGAAAGCGAAUCUCUGGGCGACAUCUGACGCUGAGGCACGAAAGCCAGGGGAGCAAACGGG